GAAACUAAAAUUCUCCUUCCUUUUUGUCAAUAUCUUAUAUUAGUUCAUUCCUCGUUUAGUUUUGUUUCUUAUUUUCAGCCAACUAAACGUGUAUUAUAUACUCAAUUUUAUAUUGAAUCAAAUCAAUGAAAAAUUACUUCAUUCAUAUGAAAUUUAAUAUGGUAUCAGAGCUUUAGGUUUCAAAAUCCAUACCCUACCUCUGCGGCUCUGCCAUGGCCGAACCUGUCAUGAAAGCCAACAAAUCCCUCAUAGAUGCCUCUUCCCCAUAUUACCCGCACACAUCUGACCAACCAAACCAACACCUCAUUGAUGCUCUUCUAAAUGGAGACAAUUACCCUGCCUGGCGUCGAUCAAUAACACGCGCCUUGAAUGCAAAAAAUAAACUAGGAUUUGUCCUUGGCACCAUCAAACGCCCAACCACGGACAUAGCUGCCGCACUCCUUUUGGACCGAUGUUGCGACAUGAUAAUGUCAUGGUUACUUCAUUCCAUUGAUCGAUCUCUCAUCGGAAGUCUCCUUUAUUGUGAAACACCCAAUGACCUAUGGGUUGAACUGAAGACCAGAUUUCAACAAAGCAACCAAACGAAAAUUUUUAGCCUCAUACGUGAUCUCGCCAGUCUUCGCCAAAAACACCAAUCAAUCACUAACUACUAUGGAAAACUGAAAGAGCUAUGAGAUGAAUUAGCCUCUUUACAACCAACUGUUUCAUGUACCUUCAGAGCAUCCAAAUCUUUAUCUAAAGCCCAAGAAACCAAUCGAGUUUAUCAAUUUCUCAUGGGUCUAAAUGACAGCUUUCAACAGCUUUGAUCACAAAUCUUAGCUAUGGACCCGUUACCUCCAAUUGGGCGGUGUUAUGCUAUUUUACAUCAGGAAGAGACACAGCGAAUGGUUCAAUUACCCUCUUCUAGACCGGAAAUUUCAGCACUUCUAGCUCACCCAUCGCAAAAGGGGACCUCCCGUGCAAUCCGAACUCGACCAACUGGACCUCCCCUAUGUGAAGAAUGUGGUAAACUAGGUCACACUCGUAACAAAUGUUUUGAACUCUUGGGAUAUCCUGAAUGGUGGCCCUCCAAGAAGAAACACAGCACAGGCCGAACACCUCCACCGACGAUACAUCAAGUCACGACAACUCAAAAUUCCUCCACCAAGAAUGUCACCCCAAGCCUCUCCACCGAGCAAUACAACCAAUUAUUGUAACUCUUAAA
Molecule: long non-coding RNA, 1204 nt
Filed under: Olea europaea subsp. europaea
Lineage: Eukaryota; Viridiplantae; Streptophyta; Magnoliopsida; Lamiales; Oleaceae
Source: RNAcentral